Non-coding RNA from Chelonoidis abingdonii (Abingdon island giant tortoise), 152 nucleotides. Lineage: Eukaryota; Metazoa; Chordata; Testudines; Testudinidae. The record is from RefSeq and is a predicted model, not a curated record.
UUGUAUGGUUGCAGCGCAGCGCUGGGAGAGAGCUCUCCCAGGGCUCUAAGUAACCCACCUCCACGUGAGGCGUAGCUCCCAGCACCGGGGCACUGUUUACACACUGGCACUUUACAGCACUGCAACUUGCUGCAGUGGGGUGUGUGUGUGUU